This is a non-coding RNA of Schistosoma haematobium, 45 nucleotides long. The record is from Rfam. NCBI's taxonomy places the organism in Eukaryota, Metazoa, Platyhelminthes, Trematoda, Strigeidida, Schistosomatidae.
AUUCAUCUGACGAGUGCGAAAUAGGAUGGAACGCGCGUCUUGGAU